GNUACCCUGAUAGCAAUCGCAUGAAUACACACAUAUAGUACUCAUUUAGUGUGUAUUGUCUUUGGAGUCAGAUUACCUGGAUUCCAGCUCUGCCAUUUACUAGCUCUGUGCCUUUGGGCAAGUUAUUUAAGCUCUAUCAGAUGCAGUUUUCUCAACAGUAAAAUGAAUAUAUUAGUCAUCUUGGUGUCUGUAAUAAGGAUUAAAUAAAAUAAUCUGUGGAAAUCACUUAGCACAGUAUAUGGCUAUUGUUAGGGCUCAAUAAACAUUAUUAUUAUUAUUAUUAUUGCUGAAAAGGUACAUAUUAUAGACUUUUGAAGUAACAGAAUUAUAUGGAAUAGAAGGAAUUUGCCAAUGAAGAGAUUGGUGGUCCUAAUAUUUAAAAUGUGAGUGCAUGUAAAAAUAUUGUUUAUACUUUCAGAAAUCCUUAAAUGCAUUGCUUAAACAAUUAAAGAAAAAAGGAAUCUGGAAAAUCAAGUGAAAGACUAUGCACUGAGACUGGAACAAGAGUCAAAGCUUACCACAGGACCAACAAUGAGCGCUGUACAUACCUCGCUGAAAUGUCUCAGGUAACUUGUUUCUUUACCUUCAGUUUUUAAGAGGUACUGUAAAUUAUGUUUUUCACUUUUCUAGGUUUUUUGAUUGGCUUGGUUUAGUAGAAAGCAGCUGUUGGAAUUAAAGGAGAAAAAGUACCAAGUUUCUAUAUAUGGAAGCUGCUCCAGCAAAGCGCAGCUGCUGCUCCUUACCUUGGACGAGAGGUAUCUCCUCGCGGCCGCCUCCUCCUGACCUUGAACGUGGAGCAGCUCCUCUCAGCCCUCUUGUACCCGCGC
Odocoileus virginianus texanus is the source of this 827-nucleotide non-coding RNA. The record is from RefSeq and is a predicted model, not a curated record. NCBI's taxonomy places the organism in Eukaryota, Metazoa, Chordata, Mammalia, Artiodactyla, Cervidae.